UUUCCACCUCAAAAGCUGUAUCUUUUUUGAAUUAGAAAUUCCUAAGGGAAACUCCCCCCACCUCCCCACUUACUUCUUGAUGAAUUCUUGAUGAAUUGUACUUAGUACCCUACUAUCUCUGGACAGUCACUGUGCCCUGCCGGGUUCUUCCUGAGGUCAGUGAAACCUGAACAGAUAACCUGUGGUAAAGAUUCAACACAGUGCCACCCCCCAACCACCACCUCCAAAGUACACACCUUCCCCU
This 244-nucleotide long non-coding RNA is filed under the name Bos taurus (domestic cattle). Its description in RNAcentral is "long non-coding RNA NONBTAT024537". Lineage: Eukaryota; Metazoa; Chordata; Mammalia; Artiodactyla; Bovidae. The record is from RNAcentral.